AGCUGGGAUAGGAGCUCUUGUCUUAUGCCAGUGAAGUGGGUCUUUCAACUUAUCUCAGCUUGGUUUUAGUAGGUGCUUUUGGGCCUCUACAAGUAACAGAGGCUUUAAAGACACCAUGAAGAAGAAACCAUUGGGUACAGGGAGUAUUUAGGUUCAGGACUUUGGGUUGUGUGGUCUGGAAUGGAGGCAUACUAUUCCUGAAAUUCUGGGUUGUGUCAAUUAUGACCCUUCAGAUUCUUUCCACAGAUUUAUUGCCACAAAAGGGAUCUGCCCCGUGUUAAAGCUAAGAGGCUAACGGGCAAUGAUGGGGCCUUCUGAGGCAGACUCAUUUCAGGUCCAACAUGGAUUUACCUUGCUGGUCAUCCCAAAGAUAAGUCAGGGGCCGUGGCUUGGAGGGGAAUAGGAAUGCAGUAAACCUGAUACAUGGGAGGCCAGAGGAGUACAGCGAUGAGGCGAGUCAGCACUCUAAGUCUGAGCUGCAGCCUGACUUUCUUCUCCAUGUUUACCUCAUCAUUCAUCUUUUCAUUUCAUUUUGAAGAUGAGAAGUGUUUGGCACGGCCAGGUAGCAGCACUGCGGGGAACCGUGACUGGAUGAAUACUGGCAAUCAAGAUGAGUAUUCUGGCACUUGGGGGGGAGUGGCCCCACAUGGCAGAGCCCAGCUGUGGUGCCGGUGCAGCUCCGUGUCCCAGUCCCGCUCCACGUGCCGGUGCCAGCCUUGGUCCUGGCCCCGCUCCAUGUCCCAGUGGAGCUGUGGGAAGCGCCCGCAGCGCUCGGAGCUGCGGUGCCGGCUGUGCCCACAAGGCACAUGCGCAGCGGUUUUAGGGGUGCCCAGAAACCCCGAUUCCCAGCCCACCCCAGAGCCCGGAUUUCAGGGGUUCCAGCAGGAGGAGACACAAAAAUUCUGACUGCAUGGAGCUGGUUCCAGUUCCUUCAUGCAGAUCAUCUUGUCUGACCUCGUCAAGCUCUUUAUCAUUUCAUUUACACACACAAAUGUUGUAUUUUUAUUUUCAAACCCCACAGAUCCCUAUUUGAAAUUUCUUAGAGUCUAAAAUCCUGACUGUAACACAGCAGAUACGGGCAUUCUUUUUAAAUAAAUUAUAUAUAGAUUAAGAUUAUUUAUCAAUAUCUAGAAAAUUACAAUCUUUGCCAUUUUAAGUACUGUAAAAUAAUUAAAUUUCACUCUUAAAGUAUUUUGCAAAUGUUUAAUAAGGGAAUAAAAAAGGACAAUGUCCAGCGCUGGGGCGUUCCUGCCUCUCGGCCAGUGCACAUGCCGGUACAUUUAAGGCAGGGGUAUCUAUAUGCUGUUACUUUACUGUGGUACAAACGCAUUCGUAAGUUUCGUGCAUCAUUCAAACAUUCUCGGGAGCUUUUGAUGUUGUAGAAACUUUGUUUUGGUUUUCCACUCUGACUUAUCUGCGUGACAUCCUGCAGAUCAGGUCAAUAUAUUUUAAUCCUUCUUGUGCCUUUGUCCUGUUAUUUCUGAUAAUGAGCAGUUAACAAAUUCUUCUCUAACUCUUCUCUGGUGCUCUAGUUUGUGUCACCGUUCUCACUCGGAGAGGUCGGUCAGCAGAUGUGGCAAACACCAUAAAUGCUUUACACAGUUCUCUCGGUUACACAGAAGCAUUUUAACAUUUUAUGUUCUGCCAAGGCCUACAGUACAAUGCAUCCAUCACACUGUUAUUCCUAGAAGCUCUAAGGUGUGUACACCAACAUCCUGUUGUCAUCACACUACUAUUGCUACAGCAGCAUGUAUGGUGCGUGCCUAAAAUGAGAAAUUAGGUUUUAUUAGCAAGCAGCUAAAAGGGGUUAUAAACUGCACUAUACGCACAAUCUAUAACACCGUAUAAAGAUUAACACACAAAUGUCAAAGCCAAUAUUAUAAGGUUAUGUUAUAUUUGUAACAACUCCUCCCCUUUGUCUUCCUUGCUGCAUUUGGCUCAAGCUACAACUUUUGAACCUCCAUGCUUUUGGCAUACUGAUAUCUUUCAUAGAUCUUAAAUGCCUUCUCUAGGUUUUUAUCAUCUUCAAUUGUUCUCAACACCAUCAUUUUCUGCCUUUUUUCCAUGGUUUCUGACUCUGGAUGGGUGGGCAUUGUCAUUGGUGUAUUUUGAA
Molecule: long non-coding RNA, 2113 nt
Organism: Hirundo rustica (Barn swallow)
Lineage: Eukaryota; Metazoa; Chordata; Aves; Passeriformes; Hirundinidae
Exons: 4
Source: RefSeq, a predicted model, not a curated record